AUUUAUUUAGUAUAUUAGUACAUUUGACUUCCAAUCAAAAAGAUUGAUAAAAUCAAAAUAAAUA
This 64-nucleotide transfer RNA is filed under the name Ruspolia sp. ZJZ-2017. Its description in RNAcentral is "tRNA-Gly". It matches the Rfam family "tRNA". From Rfam's summary of the family: Transfer RNA (tRNA) molecules are approximately 80 nucleotides in length. Their secondary structure includes four short double-helical elements and three loops (D, anti-codon, and T loops). Lineage: Eukaryota; Metazoa; Arthropoda; Insecta; Orthoptera; Tettigoniidae. The record is from RNAcentral.